This 496-nucleotide ribosomal RNA is filed under the name uncultured bacterium. RNAcentral's name for it is "partial 16S ribosomal RNA". It matches the Rfam family "Bacterial small subunit ribosomal RNA", at positions 30 to 523 of the family's 1533-position model. The record is from RNAcentral.
AUUGAACGCUGGCGGAAUGCUUUACACAUGCAAGUCGAACGGUAGAGGGGGCAACCCCUCGAGAGUGGCGAACGGGUGAGUAAUAUAUCGGAACGUGCCCAGUCGUGGGGGAUAACGUAGCGAAAGUUACGCUAAUACCGCAUACGCUCUAAGGAUGAAAGCGGGGGAUCGCAAGACAUCGCGCGAUUGGAGCGGCCGAUAUCAGAUUAGGUAGUUGGUGGGGUAAAGGCUCACCAAGCCAACGAUCUGUAGCUGGUCUGAGAGGACGACCAGCCACACUGGAACUGAGACACGGUCCAGACUACUACGGGAGGCAGCAGUGGGGAAUUUUGGACAAUGGACGCAAGUCUGAUCCAGCCAUUCCGCGUGCAGGAUGAAGGCCCUCGGGUUGUAAACUGCUUUUGUACGGAGCGAAAAGGUCUCUCUUAAUACGGGGGGCUCAUGACGGUACCGUAAGAAUAAGCACCGGCUAACUACGUGCCAGCCGCCGCGGUAA